GCGCCAGUAGCUCAACUGGACAGAGCGUUGGCCUCCGGAGCCAAAGGUUAUGGGUUCGAGUCCCCUCUGGCGUA
RNAcentral lists this transfer RNA (74 nucleotides) under bacterium. RNAcentral's name for it is "tRNA-Arg". It matches the Rfam family "tRNA". From Rfam's summary of the family: Transfer RNA (tRNA) molecules are approximately 80 nucleotides in length. Their secondary structure includes four short double-helical elements and three loops (D, anti-codon, and T loops). Further hydrogen bonds mediate the characteristic L-shaped molecular structure. tRNAs have two regions of fundamental functional importance: the anti-codon, which is responsible for specific mRNA codon recognition, and the 3' end, to which the tRNAs corresponding amino acid is attached (by aminoacyl-tRNA synthetases). tRNAs cope with the degeneracy of the genetic code in two manners: having more than one tRNA (with a specific anti-codon) for a particular amino acid; and 'wobble' base-pairing, i.e. permitting non-standard base-pairing at the 3rd anti-codon position. The record is from RNAcentral.